This is a long non-coding RNA of Colossoma macropomum (tambaqui), 2986 nucleotides long. RefSeq lists it as uncharacterized. NCBI's taxonomy places the organism in Eukaryota, Metazoa, Chordata, Actinopteri, Characiformes, Serrasalmidae. The record is from RefSeq and is a predicted model, not a curated record. The transcript has 3 exons.
CUGAGCUUUUGUGCACUUGCCUCAUUGAAGCUUGAGAUCUUUCUCCACAGGUUCAGUGAAAGUCAUUAAAAAGUUUCAGCAGUGUGAGCCGGAACUUCUUGUCCAAGAAUGAUGAGCUGCGUAAGGGUGAUUAUCUGAUGUCGAACAAUGGAGAGUACAAAGCCAUCUUUCAGCCUCUACACUUCUGGGAAGGCUUUAUACUAAAUGUUGGAACAUUGCUGAAAGGAUUUCAUUGAGUUCAGCCAUGGGAGCAUUAGUAAGGUCAGGUACUGAUGUUGGAUUAUUAGUUCUGAAACACAUGGCAUCAGCUUUGCAUUACUGGCAUUACUUCAGAAAAACACAGUUUCACUGCUCCACAGCCUGAAGCUUGGGGGAUUUAUACCUCUCCAGCUGACGCUUGGCAUAGAGCAUGGUUUCUUUAGGCUCAUGUGCAUUCAUUCCAUUUUCAAAGCUUUUCUACUGGGAUUAUACAAGCUGUAUGUCCAAAUGAUUUGACUAAAUAGAAAGGGUGUAUGUCCUCAGUAUGAAAGCUAAGAGUAUAGGACAUUUGCAAAAUUAUAGAUCAGGUUGAUGUGAUAGUGACUCGUUUAUUUAUUUAAAUUCUUGUUAAAACAGUCAUUAACUACAAGUCAUUCAUUUUUCAUUUAAUUUUCAUUUUCAUUCAAUUUUCUGAGAAGAUUACAUAUGAAAUAAUCCUUAUGCAUAUGUAAGGGGAAAGUCAAAGUAAAAAUAAGUGAAGUAAGAGGAGUUUCCAAAACAUGCUUCAGAUCUGAUAGAUCCACAGGUGCUUCUGCCCAUCUUUCCACUGUGAGAAGACUACUCAACGCUAGUCUGAAAGGAUGUGUAGCUGACAUAAAGCCUCACUGAGAAUAGAAAAUAGUCAAAAAAAAUUGCAAAUCAAAGAAAUGGAAUGUGUUUGGAUUAUUUGGAUUGUGAGAAACCAAAAAUGCAACCAACUUCUAAGACUGAACUGUAGAGGUGUGGAGAAGUAUUCCUGCACAUUUCUUUGAAAAAUCGAAACUGAAGAAUGGUGUUGGACUUUGCACAGUACUGUGCAGGUGUCUGUCUAGAGAGCUGCAAAAAAAGGCAUGCAUGUUAAACAUCAUAAAUGUUAAUGCUAUGAUUAUGUAAGCAUAGGGGAAAAUCCUAUUAUUUUCCAACAUAGGCAAGGCAGGGGUGUUGUGGAAAACCCUUGAUGCCUUUGUUCUUGUCACAAAAAGUACUGAUUUCAAAAUAAACAGAAGAAAAGAAUAACUGCAAAAAAUAGCAAUACCUUUAGGGCAAAAAGAACCGUCCUUCUGUUGAAAUUCUGUUGAAUUGCACACACACACACACAGACACACACACACUCAGUGUAACUGUUUUAUGGUUCAGCAGGCAGCACUCCACCCACUAUUGCCAUAGUUAGAAGUAGUGUGUUUAAACGGAAAUUAGGAGCCAUAUCUAGCUUUACUUUACAUGAACUGUAAAGAAUACCUACCCACUCAGAGAGUUUCCAAUAAUAAAGUAGGCCCAGUGCCGUGGAAUAUCUUAGUUUAAUAACAUUAAUGAUGGAAAAGUCAGGAGUGUAUGAAAUGAUAGCAUUAAUUUCAAUCCAGAUUCAACCCUUAUCAGAUCACCAUGGUUACACAUGUUUUAAUGCUUCUUAGUGCUAUAAAUAUUAUUGUAGAGAGACAGAUUGACGAAAAAAGAAAUAAGAAAAUAAAGACUUAUUUUGUGAGACAGCGGAAACAAUAACUCUUGUUCUAUCCAUAAAACCUGCAGCACUUUUGAACCUGAUGUUCACAGCCUGAAUCCAAACACACAUUAUGUCACUGUGUUUUUCGAAAGCAAAGGCUUUAAUUGUUCCAGAGAUGCUGGAGGACAUUAGAUGAGUCACUGCUACUCGUUGGAACGUUCAAGCUUGAUUAAAUGUAACCAAACUUCAGAGAUGCUGCAGGGUUCGUGGUCAAUGUUCUAGGUGCUGAUUCCAUUGUGUACUGUGUUCUCAGAACAUUCCAUAUUUUAGCUUUUGCCUUUUAGAUCUGUGGAACGUUUGUCUUUAUACCUGUGUGCCUUCCUGGUUGUCCCUGUUCUUCUGAUUCUUGUCUGUAAUCUGAAUCCAACACUAAGGAGACUGAUGAGUUUUCCUACGCUGAUAAGUAAACCUCCAGUCAGCAGUCCUAAUAGAGAAAUCAUGGAGUGAGACUCAUGAAUCACACAUUUUUUCCACAUCAACACCCAAGCAGAUGGGUCUGUGUAGUCUCAUAAAUACUGCCCCCUCACCUACGGUCAACAUUUUUCAUACGGAAGGACACACAGACACACACAAGCAUUGACCUAACUAGUAAAUAGAUGAAUAUCUCUAAUUACAUAUCUAAUCUGACUCAAAGCAAAGCCAUAAUCUAACUACUACACUCUUAAAUGUAAAGGUUUCUGAAGGGAUCUUGGCUUAGAAGGUUUGAUUGUUAUGAAAUCUCUACAUUAUCUGGAGGUUCUUCAAACUUUAAAAAGGCUCAUUACACUUGCAGAUCUCAUUCUUUAAUCUUCUCACAGUAACUAAAAAAUGCAAUUUCCGCUUGUUUUGAAGGAGGUCCUUCAGCUGAACUAUGCAUUUUCCUCAUUUUCUUCAAUAAUGUUUGAAAUAUUGGGAGUAUAUUUUGAUGAAAAUGUGUAUAAUUUACAAAAACAGAAGGAAAUUGGAUUCUCAUCUUCAUAAGUGAGCAAGCAAGUCAGCAUUUUUAAAAGUAUUUUUAUUAUAUUUACGUCUUUUUUUUUGUUCAUUUUAUUAUUUUAUUCAUUUUAUUUAGAGCCAACAGCGUCCUAGUUAAUUUGAUGAAGGGAAAGGACAAUAAAUCAGUUGAUUUCCAUUCUGCCACUAGGGCGCCUAAAGGUAGAGGCUACAUAAUGCUGUUGUCGGAAGAAAAUCUUGUAUCUCCAUUUUUUCAGUUUUUGACAUAAUUUGAAAAUGCCUGUUGCCCUUUACAUUGUAUGUAAAUUUCAUGAU